Molecule: ribosomal RNA, 470 nt
Filed under: uncultured bacterium
Lineage: Bacteria
Description: partial 16S ribosomal RNA
Rfam family: Bacterial small subunit ribosomal RNA
Source: RNAcentral
GACGAACGCUGGCGGCGUGCUUAACACAUGCCAGUCGAACGGUGAACGAGGGAGCUUGCUCCCUCCGGAUCAGUGGCGAACGGGUGAGUAACACGUGAGCAAUCUGCCCCGAACUCUGGGAUAAGCGUUGGAAACGACGUCUAAUACCGGAUACGACGCGGGAGGGCAUCCUCUCCGCGUGGAAAGAACUUCGGUUCGGGAUGAGCUCGCGGCCUAUCAGCUUGUUGGUGAGGUAACGGCUCACCAAGGCGACGACGGGUAGCCGGCCUGAGAGGGUGACCGGCCACACUGGGACUGAGACACGGCCCAGACUCCUACGGGAGGCAGCAGUGGGGAAUAUUGCACAAUGGGCGCAAGCCUGAUGCAGCAACGCCGCGUGAGGGACGACGGCCUUCGGGUUGUAAACCUCUUUUAGCAGGGAAGAAGCGAAAGUGACGGUACCUGCGGAAAAAGCACCGGCUAACUACGUG